AUACGUAGGGCGCAAGCGUUAUCCGGAAUUAUUGGGCGUAAAGGGCUCGUAGGCGGUUCGUCGCGUCCGGUGUGAAAGUCAUCGCUCAACGGUGGAUCUGCGCCGGGUACGGGCGGGCUGGAGUGCGGUAGGGGAGACUGGAAUUCCCGGUGUAACGGUGGAAUGUGUAGAUAUCGGGAAGAACACCAAUGGCGAAGGCAGGUCUCUGGGCCGUUACUGACGCUGAGGAGCGAAAGCGUGGGGAGCGAACAGGAUUAGAUACCCUGGUAGUCCACGCCGUAAACGGUGGAUGCUGGAUGUGGGGCCCGUUCCACGGGUUCCGUGUCGGAGCUAACGCGUUAAGCAUCCCGCCUGGGGAGUACGGCCGCAAGGCUAAAACUCAAAGAAAUUGACGGGGGCCCGCACAAGCGGCGGAGCAUGCGGAUUAAUUCGAUGCAACGCGAAGAACCUUACCUGGGCUUGACAUGUUCCCGACCGCGGCAGAGAUGUCGUUUCCCUUCGGGGCGGGUUCACAGGUGGUGCAUGGUCGUCGUCAGCUCGUGUCGUGAGAUGUUGGGUUAAGUCCCGCAACGAGCGCAACCCUCGCCCUGUGUUGCCAGCACGUCAUGGUGGGAACUCACGGGGGACCGCCGGGGUCAACUCGGAGGAAGGUGGGGAUGACGUCAGAUCAUCAUGCCCCUUACGUCCAGGGCUUCACGCAUGCUACAAUGGCCGGUACAACGGGAUGCGACACGGCGACGUGGAGCGGAUCCCUGAAAACCGGUCUCAGUUCGGAUUGGAGUCUGCAACCCGACUCCAUGAAGGCGGAGUCGCUAGUAAUCGCGGAUCAGCAACGCCGCGGUGAAUGCGUUCCCGGGCCUUGUACACACCGCCCGUCAAGUCAUGAAAGUGGGAAGCACCCGAAGCCGGUGGCCUAACCCUUUGUGGAUGGAGCCGUCUAAGGUGAGACUCGUGAUUGGGACU
RNAcentral lists this ribosomal RNA (963 nucleotides) under uncultured bacterium. RNAcentral describes it as "bacterial SSU rRNA". It matches the Rfam family "Bacterial small subunit ribosomal RNA", at positions 523 to 1482 of the family's 1533-position model. The record is from RNAcentral.